RNAcentral lists this ribosomal RNA (460 nucleotides) under uncultured bacterium. RNAcentral's name for it is "partial 16S ribosomal RNA". It matches the Rfam family "Bacterial small subunit ribosomal RNA", at positions 338 to 795 of the family's 1533-position model. The record is from RNAcentral.
CCUACGGGAGGCAGCAGUGAGGAAUAUUGGUCAAUGGACGAGAGUCUGAACCAGCCAAGUAGCGUGAAGGAUGACUGCCCUAUGGGUUGUAAACUUCUUUUAUAAAGGAAUAAAACGAGGCACGUGUGCCUUUUUGCAUGUACUUUAUGAAUAAGGAUCGGCUAACUCCGUGCCAGCAGCCGCGGUAAUACGGAGGAUCCGAGCGUUAUCCGGAUUUAUUGGGUUUAAAGGGAGCGUAGGUGGGUUGUUAAGUCAGUUGUGAAAGUUUGCGGCUCAACCGUAAAAUUGCAAUUGAUACUGGAAGUCUUGAGUACAGUAGAGGUAGGCGGAAUUCGUGGUGUAGCGGUGAAAUGCUUAGAUAUCACGAAGAACCCCGAUUGCGAAGGCAGCUUACUAAACUGCGACUGACAUUGAGGCUCGAAGGUGUGGGUAUCAAACAGGAUUAGAUACCCCGGUAGUC